RNAcentral lists this ribosomal RNA (254 nucleotides) under uncultured bacterium. RNAcentral's name for it is "partial 16S ribosomal RNA". It matches the Rfam family "Bacterial small subunit ribosomal RNA", at positions 524 to 776 of the family's 1533-position model. The record is from RNAcentral.
CACGUAGGGUGCGAGCGUUGUCCGGAAUUAUUGGGCGUAAAGAGCUCGUAGGCGGUGUGUCGCGUCGGCCGUGAAAACCUGCAGCUUAACUGUGGGCUUGCGGUCGAUACGGGCAUCACUGGAGUUCGGCAGGGGAGACUGGAAUUCCUGGUGUAGCGGUGAAAUGCGCAGAUAUCAGGAGGAACACCGGUGGCGAAGGCGGGUCCCUGGACACUUCCUGACACUGAGGCACGAAAGCUAGGGGAGCAAACAGG